This 71-nucleotide transfer RNA is filed under the name Lyciasalamandra luschani luschani. RNAcentral's name for it is "tRNA-Ile". It matches the Rfam family "tRNA". Rfam says of the family: Transfer RNA (tRNA) molecules are approximately 80 nucleotides in length. Their secondary structure includes four short double-helical elements and three loops (D, anti-codon, and T loops). Lineage: Eukaryota; Metazoa; Chordata; Amphibia; Caudata; Salamandridae. The record is from RNAcentral.
GGACGUGUGCCCGAAAGAUAGGAGUUACUUUGAUAGAGUAAUAUAUAGAGGUUCAAAUCCUCUCAUCUCCU